CCCAUUGACCUCUAUUGAGAAGAAAAACUAAAAAUUAAAUCUGCUUACUCAUUCCAAACGUUUGAUUGACAGACUCCCAGAGCCCACUUUCAAAUGGUAGAGAUGUGGACUUCCAACAAGCUCCCUCCUGAUUGGUAAGAAUGGUUGCCAUAAUAAAGACUGACUCUGACCAAUCACUGCUUCCUGAAGUUGUCUGGCUGUCAUGAAUCGGUCCCCUGUCUCCCCCUCUGGCUAUCAGCAAGAACUAUCUCCAGAGUACUAACACUUCCUGUUUCUCCACACUCCACUUCCCAUCAGCCCCUGCUGUCAUUCUCCCAGGAGCCCCACAGCUGUUUCCCAUCAGUAACCACUCCCUUCAGUGUGAAGUCUUAUGUCUCUGGCCUGCUAUUUUGAGCAUUCUUCCACCAUCUACCUCUGCCUGAUCCUGGACUCUCACCUGUCUCUGACCCACGGCUGCCAGCCGCCUGCCUCUCCAUGUGUUCAAAAAAACACUGCGCAUGAAUCCUCCUGACACCGGCUGGUACACUUGCUCCAAUAACAAGCUCUGCAUCAACGUGAACAAGGCCAAAUAGAUGAUUGUGGACUUCAGGAAGGACAGACGCCCCCCUCCUACCCUUCACAUCAGAGGGGCCGUGGUGGAAGUGGUUUUCAGCUUCAGGUACUUGGGCGUUCACAGCUCCAACGACGUUACCUGGAGCACCAACACUUCCUACCUAGUCAAGAAGGCACAUCAGCGCUGGGAUGGGGAUCGCAGUCCUUUACCUCCUUCAACAGGCAGGAGGCUGCGGGGCAUAAAGAGCAGGACCACCAGACUGAGGAACAGUUUCUUCCCUGAAGCAGUAAGGCUGCUGAACUCUGGAAGAUCAUUGUGACACCCCCGCCCUCUCACGGACAACUCAAAAAAGCAGUGCUACGUGAUGCACUCUCUUCUGUGCUAGAUUUCGGUGCAACAAUCACAGGACGGUGCAAUAAUCAUUGGAACUGUGCAAUACUGUGAUAUAUUCUCUUCAGUGCAAUACUCAGUAAGAAUCGUGAUAUAUCAUAUUGAUGUGUCUCUUACUUCCUGUCCUGAUCUUACUGUAAACGACUGGUCCUGGAACAGAGACACGAAUUUUGUUUUUUCUCCUGUGGUGAAAUGACAAGAAUCCUGAACGUGGUGGAGUCCAUGCCACGAAAAAAUGACGACCAAAUUGACAACUGAAGACACUAUGAACUUUUUUGGACGGAUUGACUUUAUUUGGUUGGAGCUGGUAGUAAAUCAUUUUCUUUGGGUGAUGUAAAACUCUGUCAGUCCAGUUCUCAUACAAUGGCCUCUAUUGUAAUAAGUUCAGAAAUAGGAAAAGAACAGGGAAACUAAAGUUAGUGAUUUUAUGGUUACAUGCAUAUCAGAUUUUUAUUUUGGUUUGACUUUAAUUACAUUCUGUCUAUUUCUGCUUUCAAACUGAUUUUUAAAAAGCUAUUUUUGUGAAAGGACUCUCUUAAACUCCGAAUGUCCUGAUUACACUCUGGCACAUACCUGUGUAUAUAUGCACAUGUACAUUUGCUUAUUUAGUUUCUCUUAACUUCAAUAUUUUUCUCACGUCUUUAUUGUGAAAAUGGAUUUUCUUGGGCGUCCCUAACACUGUUACUUAAUCCCUGUGUGCACAGAACCAACAUGUUCAGAUCAUGUAUGUCUUGUUUUUGCACAUAACUGAUAUGUUUGUUUUGUAUAUUUUAUAUGUUUUUCACUGAUAUGGCGAUGGCUUUUAAUCUCAUUGUACAUGCGGACAGUGACAAUAAAGGCACAUCUAUAACUA
Molecule: non-coding RNA, 1796 nt
Organism: Oryzias latipes (Japanese medaka)
Lineage: Eukaryota; Metazoa; Chordata; Actinopteri; Beloniformes; Adrianichthyidae
Source: RefSeq, a predicted model, not a curated record